UGUGCUCUUCCUGUGCUGGAGAUGCUUCUUCAGGCAUUACCGGACUGUGGUAAAGAAGGAAUGGAGAGGUGGCAUGGCAUUAUGAGGCUCCACCCACUUCCUAAGGGCCUUUAAGUCAGCAGCAUAAGCCACAUUCCACUGCAGCUUUAUCUUGCACCAGAACUAGGCAUCUGAGAAUCAGGGAGCUGUGACUGGCUUCCAGACGGCCACCUCUCCCCACUGCACCCAAGUUAAGUGACUUGUCUAAGAUCACACACAAAGUCUGUGGCAGAACUGAGAAUUAAACCCCCAUCUCUUGAUUGCCAGUUCUGUGUCUUAAAUACAUGACUAGCCUCCUCUGAAUGCCAGGGAGGGAGGGGCAGCCAGUAUUUCUAUAUUCUUUUUUCCACCAUGCACCUCUUUUAACCAGCUACUGCAGAAUUUUACCCUCUCCCUUCUUAUGAAAUUCAGAAAAUCCCAGUGAAGCUUGUGGGACAAUAAGGCAGGAUGUGGGAGAAAAGGAGGACAAAGUGCAGCCGGCAGUGGAGAUGGUGGCACUGAAUGAUUGCAAUAAGCUGAAGGAACUUGGCAGGGAUGUCAGCAGACCCGGACAGAAAACAAACUCCCUUCACAGCCAGAAACUUAUGGUUGUCAAGCAGAUUGUGAAGCACAUUAAAUCGUUGCCGCAGGAUUCGCUGGACUCACACUCCAGUGCCGUGCGCUGCCAGGGGAUGCUGCUCAUCACAGACUGCAGCAAAGCAAAGCCGCCUCUGGAGGGUAAAGAGAAGUUGGAUGGGGUCAUUGUCUGUGUUGCCAGCAUCUUUGCCCUGCCGUCAGUUGAGGCCUUACAAAG
Molecule: long non-coding RNA, 832 nt
Filed under: Gopherus agassizii (Agassiz's desert tortoise)
Lineage: Eukaryota; Metazoa; Chordata; Testudines; Testudinidae
Description: lncRNA (ENSGAGG00000014149.1)
Source: RNAcentral